GGAAUCAAGUGAGAGCUUAAGAAAUAGAGAAGAAAGAGCUAGGGAGAAAUUUUUAGUUGCAAGAAGAGUAGAGGUUCUGAAGGGUUUCGGGGAAAUAAAUUCAGAUCAAGAGGAAUCUGGAAUAGAGAUGAAGGAAUGUCGCCUCACAUAGUGCCAAGGAAAGGGAGGAGUAGAAGAACUAUAAUUAGAAUCUUUUUACAUGUAUAGACUUAUAUUAACUAGGAAAUUUUAAAGGGUGAGAUUACGGAA
RNAcentral lists this small RNA (249 nucleotides) under Vigna angularis var. angularis. RNAcentral's name for it is "Non-protein coding transcript". The record is from RNAcentral. Lineage: Eukaryota; Viridiplantae; Streptophyta; Magnoliopsida; Fabales; Fabaceae.